RNAcentral lists this ribosomal RNA (253 nucleotides) under uncultured bacterium. RNAcentral's name for it is "partial 16S ribosomal RNA". It matches the Rfam family "Bacterial small subunit ribosomal RNA", at positions 524 to 776 of the family's 1533-position model. The record is from RNAcentral.
UACAGAGGGGGCAAGCGUUGUUCGGAAUUACUGGGCGUAAAGGGCGCGUAGGCGGCCUUCUAAGUCGAACGUGAAAUCCCCGGGCUCAACCCGGGAACUGCGUCCGAUACUGGAAGGCUUGAAUCCGGGAGAGGGAUGUGGAAUUCCAGGUGUAGCGGUGAAAUGCGCAGAUAUCAGGAGGAACACCGGUGGCGAAGGCGGCUUGCUGGGCCAGUUCUGACACUGAGGCGCGACAGCGUGGGGAGCAAACAGG